This 506-nucleotide ribosomal RNA is filed under the name uncultured bacterium. RNAcentral describes it as "partial 16S ribosomal RNA". It matches the Rfam family "Bacterial small subunit ribosomal RNA", at positions 29 to 523 of the family's 1533-position model. The record is from RNAcentral.
AUUGAACGCUGGCGGCAGGCCUAACACAUGCAAGUCGGACGGUAGCACAGAGGAGCUUGCUCCUCGGGUGACGAGUGGCGGACGGGUGAGUAAUGUCUGGGGAUCUGCCCGAUAGAGGGGGAUAACCACUGGAAACGGUGGCUAAUACCGCAUAACGUCGCAAGACCAAAGAGGGGGACCUUCGGGCCUCUCACUAUCGGAUGAACCCAGAUGGGAUUAGCUAGUAGGCGGGGUAACGGCCCACCUAGGCGACGAUCCCUAGCUGGUCUGGGAGGAUGGCCAGCCACACUGGAACUGAGACACGGUCCAGACUCCUACGGGAGGCAGCAGUGGGGAAUAUUGCACAAUGGGCGCAAGCCUGAUGCAGCCAUGCCGCGUGUAUGAAGAAGGCCUUCGGGUUGUAAAGUACUUUCAGCGGGGAGGAAGGCGAUGUGGUUAAUAACCGCAUUGAUUGACGUUACCCGCAGAAGAAGCACCGGCUAACUCCGUGCCAGCCGCCGCAGUAA